This 201-nucleotide ribosomal RNA is filed under the name uncultured bacterium. Its description in RNAcentral is "partial 16S ribosomal RNA". It matches the Rfam family "Bacterial small subunit ribosomal RNA", at positions 524 to 722 of the family's 1533-position model. The record is from RNAcentral.
UACGUAGGUGGCGAGCGUUGUCCGGAUUUAUUGGGCGUAAAGCGCGCGCAGGUGGUGCGGUAAGUCCUGUGUGAAAUCUCCCGGCUCAACUGGGAGGGUGCGGAGGAGACUGCCGGACUGGAGGCACUCAGGGGCCGGUGGAAUUCCCGGUGUAGUGGUGAAAUGCGUAGAGGAUCGGGAAGGAACGACCAGUGCGAAGGC